CCUACGGGGGGCUGCAGUGGGGAAUAUUGGACAAUGGGGGCAACCCUGAUCCAGCCAUGCCGCGUGUGUGAAGAAGGCCCUCGGGUGGUAAAGCACUUUCAGUGAGGAAGAACGCCUGGUGGUUAAUACCCAUCAGGAAAGACAUCACUCACAGAAGAAGCACCGGCUAACUCCGUGCCAGCAGCCGCGGUAAUACGGAGGGUGCGAGCGUUAAUCGGAAUUACUGGGCGUAAAGCGCGCGUAGGUGGCUUGAUAAGCCGGUUGUGAAAGCCCCGGGCUCAACCUGGGAACGGCAUCCGGAACUGUCAAGCUAGAGUGCAGGAGAGGAAGGUAGAAUUCCCGGUGUAGCGGUGAAAUGCGUAGAGAUCGGGAGGAAUACCAGUGGCGAAGGCGGCCUUCUGGACUGACACUGACACUGAGGUGCGAAAGCGUGGGUAGCAAACAGGAUUAGAUACCCUGGUAGUC
RNAcentral lists this ribosomal RNA (465 nucleotides) under Vreelandella stevensii. RNAcentral describes it as "partial 16S ribosomal RNA". It matches the Rfam family "Bacterial small subunit ribosomal RNA", at positions 338 to 795 of the family's 1533-position model. The record is from RNAcentral. Lineage: Bacteria; Pseudomonadati; Pseudomonadota; Gammaproteobacteria; Oceanospirillales; Halomonadaceae.